This is a long non-coding RNA of Clupea harengus (Atlantic herring), 1061 nucleotides long. RefSeq lists it as uncharacterized. Lineage: Eukaryota; Metazoa; Chordata; Actinopteri; Clupeiformes; Clupeidae. The record is from RefSeq and is a predicted model, not a curated record.
AAUCUGGUUAAAACCGGUUUCUCUCUUAGCCUAAAUUUCAAUAUAAAUAGGUAAUAAACAUAUUGCUAUUCAUUUAUUUUCGUUAAGGCGCGACGCUGUACGCAACGAACGUGUCUAUUGUGUAUUAGCCAUCUGAAGAAGCAGACGUUUUUCUCUGACCAACGUCACUCUGCAAAUUCUUGACAAGAUGCCCAAGAGAAAGUCUGACAAAGCUGGAAAAGGCAGUGAGGAGCCAGCACGGCGCUCUGCACGGUUGUCAGCUAAACCAGCACCUGCAAAGGCAGCCCCCAAACCCAAAAAGGCAGCAGCACCGAAGAAAGCAGCCAAGGGAAAGAAGCCUGCUGAAAAUGGCGAUGCCAAGGCAGAUCAGGCACAGAAAGUCGAGGCUGCAGGAGAUGCCAAAUGAAGGGUUUUCUUUUGGAUACUUCUGUGUACUUGGUGACUGUACAGUUUGAAAUAACUAUUUUUUACCAAGUUUUAUAUGAAAAUAUCAUUUAUAGUUUCAUUGUUGGCUUAUAUUUGAUGUACUGAAAAUGUUUGAAAGUACUCUUGCAGUCAUAUCCAUUUUUAUGCCAGUGUUUAACAAACACCGUCCUUUCCCAGUUAAAAUGAUGUUUUAGACUCCUUUUUAAGUUUUAAAACUGCUGAAUGUUACAAAAAUGAUCUUUUUGUUUUGGUUUUUAAAAGCCUAAUUUUUAAAAUACCAAAUGUUAUCAUAAGGCAGCUAAAAGUGUAUUUGUAGAAAUGUUUGGAAGAAAAGCUUUUGAAACUUUUUUUUGUCUUUUUUUUUUUUUUUUUUGUCUUUUUUUUUUUAAAUCUCUGUAAUCAAUGAGUACUUGCAAACAUUAAGACCUUUUAGACACAGCAGUUGAACUAGUCACUAAAUUUGUUAAUUUAUGAUAGGAUACCAACCCUGAUCAGAUGUAUAAUGUGAAUUUAGCGAUUUGUUGAAACUGAUGAAAGUGUAAUUUUGUUAAAUAAAAAAAAAAAUGGUUGAAAACUUUUUGUGACUCAUAUACACGAUGUGUUGUAUGUGCUUUUGAAUAAAAACAUAAAAUCUA